AAACCAUGGACCCCAUCCUUCGUUGCCCCCUCCCAUCGAUCCCAUCGACCCCCGCCGCCGCCGUCCGAGGGGGAGACGACGCCACCGCCGCCGUUCGAGGGGGAGACGACGCCGCCGCCGCCUCUGCAAGGCAGGGCGGUUUGAAUCCUGCCGCCGCCGAACUCCGGAUCUCCUCGAUCUCCUCGAUCUCAAGCGCCGGCAGCAUCACCUGGAUCUCCUCGAGCCAGGGCCCUCCGCGCGCCAGCACCUUCCCCAUCGCGCGCGAUCUGUCCGCUCCGACACACGGUGAGCGCGCUACCGCCGCCUUGUCACCGACGUCCUGAUCCAUCAGCGGCAAUGGCGGCUCCUUCUGGCGGAUCAAGGCGCGGAGACCCGUGGGAUCCCCUCCUUCGGCAGGACCUCCUCAUCUGAUUGCAUUCUUGCACGGAUAGAGAGUGGAACACCACCUUCAGUUUCUCAUCUGAUCCCACUUGUGGACUCCAUGAAUGAAGUAAGAUAACAAUCCAUUGGUCAAUUACAUUGCCUCUUUAGAUGGUUUUUAGUGGGCAUCAGACUUGGUUUAGAUGGCUUUUGUUGUGAAAGAAAACUAUCUUUCUAAAGACUGUACUCUGAAUCUUACAUCUCAUACUUGAUUAUUUUUUUGCAUAAUUUUUUUUGGGCCUGAUGUGUAUCCAACGGCAUGUGAGAUUAAAGAUUUGCAUGAGACUGACGAUUGUGAUUUUGGCCCUGUACUGAAUAAUUUUGGGAGCGACUGGAUGAUGAUGAUUACAAGCCAGACUAUGCAGGAGGACUGCAUGUGAUGAGUUAAGGCACAAGAACUACGACCAUUUUAGCUCCAGCAGUAAGUACACAACUAAUCAACAAUGCAUUUUCACGACCCAGACUUCUGCAUUCUGGUUGACAGGCUCGCUGGCACAACCACAUAAUCUCAUGCAUUCAAAUUGCUAGCUACACGAAAUACGCCCAGAUCUACGAGUAGGAAUCCAAGAAUAGGAAGAACCAUACCAACAACAUACAUACAUAUUACAGUUCUGCAUUUUAAAUUUGAAGACCAAGGCAAAGCCCGAUCGAUGUAAUUGGAGGCAUUGCAGUCCAAUUGUUCGAUUGUAACCAGACGUGUGACUGAAUAUUGCUUCGAACAUGUGAUUCUGCAAAGUUGAGGAAGUUGAGGAAGUAUGGACUCAGAUGCUUUAAGGGUUUGUUUCCAUACUGUGGGACAGCAGGAUCUGAGUCCCACUAUGAGGGAUCAACCUUCAGAGAUCAGCUACCGGCGUCAUACUGCCCCCACAAGAAACAAGAACUUUCUAACCAAGGGCAUACCUACAAGACAGCAGGAAGUCCUAAGGCACGCAUCACACAUUCACAAAAGCAACCUACUCGGGUCCUCCCUGUGCACAUCUGGUGGUGGCUCCUCCUUCUACUUCUUCAUGUGCAGAUCUAUUGGUGGCUCCUCCUCCCCUCCAUAGAUCUUUAUAUUUUGCCAUUGCUAAAGAUUGUGAUGAUAAGGUUCACAGGAGAUGCAGGUACGUCUUCUGUCCAGAAAGGAUAAAUUGGUGUCCAUUUGACCACAAGCAUAUGAUCUUUGCUCCACAAGGUUGUACUUUGACAAGGCAUGAUGCUCUUUUUUGUUUUUGAUCUCAAAAUAUUGAGAAGACAUGGAUUCAACUAGGGAGGAGUAGAGGAAGACCAUGCAAAUGAGGGAUAUUUUUGGCGGGCUGUGAGCUGGAUGUGCUAUUAGUCAUGGUGCCGAGCUUGGAUUGAGGAGAUGGAUAGAAGAAGGUCAAUGCGCUUGAGGAGGCGGCAAUAGCACACCUGUGGUCCAAAUCUAGGUGAAUUAUUGUGGCUGAUCUAGAGGCCUGUCUAGAGAACGGCAGGGCCACAACGUUCGUGCAGCGGUGGCUGUACACACCAUCCGGAGGCGAGCAACGGCUGCGCUGGCAGCCGCUUGGAAGGGAAGCGAAGGUCAUGGAGGAGGAGGCUAUGCAUGGCCGAGGAGCAGGUCGUGCGCUGCCGCAGGGACGGGAGAGCCGGCGCCGGCUCCAAGUACGCCAUCAUCCAAGUUGCACUUGGGCUUCCCUCCAGCAGGUCCACACCGUAUCUUAGGUCAUGAUCGGGCUGACAGCGGUUUGUCCACUACACUCGACCAUGUGCUCAGCUGACCUCGAUGCCCAUAUUUUCCUAGACACCAUGGCACGAGUACCAACCUCACAGGCUGAACUGAUGGAUGUUGGUAUUUUGAUCUUGCUAUGUCAAAUAGUAUGAUGUAAUCUAUGGAGCUGAAGCUAUAGCUAGAUCUUGAUCUUACUGUCAUAUCCGUGUCAAGCACAAGCCGGCGCCUCUAUUUCCGGAUUGACAGCACACGAUGAGAAGAAGACAUGGUUUACCUCAGAGCUGGGGACUACAGAGGAUAGCGUCUUUGUGAAUUCAGAUAAGAAUAAUAUUGUAAGGUGGCAAGGUAUCAUGUAUACAAUCAAGCAUUGCAAAGGACUAGCUACUGCCUUGUUUAUUUUUUUAUGAUUGCCCAAAAUUUUCUUACUAGAAUUUUGAGAAGUUUGGCCAUCAGUUCUACUGCUUGGUCAUUUUAUAUAUCAUGUUGUAGUCUUUCUUUUAAUACAAGGUAAUAUUAAUACCAUCCAUGUACUUUUGUGUUUGCUGUCCAGUACAUGGUGACUAAUUUUCAUAUACAUUUUGUUUCAUAUUAUCCAUGAAUAUGUUUUUUGUGCUAAAACAAAAAUAUGGGGGACUGGUCAGCAUGCUAGGUCAGAGCAAAGCAAAAACCCGUAUAAAUGAGUCCCAAGGAGCAAAGAUCAUUAUGUAGAAUAGAAUAUUUUUGCUCCAUGAAACCUUCUGGGCUCCAUAAAUUGUGUUUUUGUGCUCAUGCUUGUGCACAUUCUAUAAUUUUGAUUCGUUGUUCAGGCAUUUGGAGUUCACAGUUAUCUAAGUUUCUCUUAUGUGUGUUUUCGAAGAAUUUGAUACUUUAGAGUCUUUCUAUUAUAUUAUCUUUGAAUCUACUUAGAAUAGAUUAGUAGUAUGAUAUAGUGAAGUAAUCUAAUUCAAUUUCCUUUUUCAUUGCAACCACUUAAUUUCAAUUGGGUCAAAAUAAAAAAGUCGAAGACAAUUUUUUUCAGCCAUAAGUAGAACACCAGAGCUAAUUGAUACACCAUUUUGAAAAUUGAUACACUGUUGCAGGGAGAGCACCGCACGCAACAGUGGUCAAGGGCUUAGUGUCUGUUGACCUCGUCCGUGGCCGCUGUUGGUCGGUGAAGGAGGCAUGCAUGAGGUGGUGCAAGGGCAUGCUGGUGACGGAGUCGCGCAUGGUGAGGCCGGGUGAGUAACGCUCGGGAACUGCCGGGCGCUCAGACUGACGCGGGAUGGGGUUGGCGCGGUGACUCAAGGAGGAGGAUGUAGUUAUGGGGGAGGGAGUGACGAUGGAGGGGCUUCGAUGGCCCGAUGAGACCCUACAUCAUAAUCAAGGAGGACCCUACAUCUAAAGGAAACAGAGCAAUCUAUAUCAUUAGUCUAUUACUGGAUUUCUAGAAGGAAAAAGGGAUAAAUGGUUGUUUCUGCUACUCUACAUUUGCUUUAAAAUUGGUGUACAUAUAUCAAGAAGAACUUGGUUGCAAAAGUGAUCAAACAUAAGAGAAAACACAAACACAUUGGUUUUGUAA
Long non-coding RNA from Triticum dicoccoides, 3668 nucleotides. RefSeq lists it as uncharacterized. The transcript is spliced from 12 exons. The record is from RefSeq and is a predicted model, not a curated record. Lineage: Eukaryota; Viridiplantae; Streptophyta; Magnoliopsida; Poales; Poaceae.